GCGCCCGUAGCUCAGUUGGAUAGAGCGCCGGACUUCGAAUCCGUAGGUCGGGGGUUCGAGCCCCUCCGGGCGCGCCA
Molecule: transfer RNA, 77 nt
Filed under: uncultured bacterium
Lineage: Bacteria
Also listed under: 1 other name
Description: tRNA-Arg
Rfam family: tRNA
About the family: Transfer RNA (tRNA) molecules are approximately 80 nucleotides in length. Their secondary structure includes four short double-helical elements and three loops (D, anti-codon, and T loops). Further hydrogen bonds mediate the characteristic L-shaped molecular structure. tRNAs have two regions of fundamental functional importance: the anti-codon, which is responsible for specific mRNA codon recognition, and the 3' end, to which the tRNAs corresponding amino acid is attached (by aminoacyl-tRNA synthetases). tRNAs cope with the degeneracy of the genetic code in two manners: having more than one tRNA (with a specific anti-codon) for a particular amino acid; and 'wobble' base-pairing, i.e. permitting non-standard base-pairing at the 3rd anti-codon position.
Source: RNAcentral